Molecule: ribosomal RNA, 301 nt
Filed under: uncultured bacterium
Lineage: Bacteria
Description: partial 16S ribosomal RNA
Rfam family: Bacterial small subunit ribosomal RNA
Source: RNAcentral
CAGCAGCCGCGGGAACACGUAGGUGGCAAGCGUUGUCCGGAAUUAUUGGGCGUAAAGGGCUCGCGGGCGGUUUCUUAAGUCUGAUGUGAAAGCCCCCGGCUCAACCGGGGAGGGUCAUGGAAACUGGGAAACUUGAGUGCAGAAGAGGAGAGUGGAAUUCCACGUGUAGCGGUGAAAUGCGUAGAGAUGUGGAGGAACACCAGUGGCGAAGGCGACUCUCUGGUCUGUAACUGACGCUGAGGAGCGAAAGCGUGGGGAGCGAACAGGAUUAGAUACCCCGGUAGUCCCUGUCUCUUAUACC